Molecule: ribosomal RNA, 257 nt
Filed under: uncultured Pseudomonas sp.
Lineage: Bacteria; Pseudomonadati; Pseudomonadota; Gammaproteobacteria; Pseudomonadales; Pseudomonadaceae
Description: partial 16S ribosomal RNA
Rfam family: Bacterial small subunit ribosomal RNA
Source: RNAcentral
CGGCGGACGGGUGAGUAAUGCCUAGGAAUCUGCCUGGUAGUGGGGGACAACGUUUCGAAAGGAACGCUAAUACCGCAUACGUCCUACGGGAGAAAGCAGGGGACCUUCGGGCCUUGCGCUAUCAGAUGAGCCUAGGCCGGAUUAGCUAGUUGGUGAGGUAAUGGCUCACCAAGGCGACGAUCCGUAACUGGUCUGAGAGGAUGAUCAGUCACACUGGAACUGAGACACGGUCCAGACUCCUACGGGAGGCAGCAGGU